GAGGAGAAGCUGAGGAGCACGCCGCGUGAGUGAUGAAGGCUUUCGGGUCGUAAAAGCUCUGUUGUUAGGGAAGAACAAGUGCUAGUUGAAUAGGCUGGCACCUUGCCGGUACCUAACCAGAAAGCCACGGCUAAUUACUGGCCACCACCCGCGGAAAUCGGA
RNAcentral lists this ribosomal RNA (162 nucleotides) under uncultured Bacillus sp. RNAcentral describes it as "partial 16S ribosomal RNA". It matches the Rfam family "Bacterial small subunit ribosomal RNA", at positions 374 to 528 of the family's 1533-position model. Lineage: Bacteria; Bacillati; Bacillota; Bacilli; Caryophanales; Bacillaceae. The record is from RNAcentral.